CAGCGCUGGGGCCGGUGGUUAAUCGGAUUCCCAUUGCGCUGGGCGCGAUGCAGCCGCAGCGUGUGACCCUCUGGGGGUGCGGCGUGGCUGUGGAGCCCUGUGGGAACCAGGGCGAGAAAGGCUCUGCCAGAAAUAGGGAGAUUUUUCAGGGUUCAGUAGUCAAGGUCUCUUCCAGCAGGCCACUGUGCCUUGGGAGCUCGCGUCCCACCUGUGAUCUGUGCCCCCCCCUCCCAGCAGGGCAGCCUAUGGAGCUGGUGGUGUUAACCCUUGGUGGUCUGGGUCAUUGGAAAUUAACAUAGAGGGGCAGAAAACCGGUUGGAUGCAGCCUGGAUGAGCACUUGCUGUUCUGUUGUGUCUGUGGCAUGCAGGUGGUGCAUUCUUGUGCUUCAGACAGGCAGAACUGGGUGCUACGUGGGAGCACCCUGACAGAUGGCACUGCUAUCCCCUCUCUGUCACUGGAAGUAAGAGGGAAUACAGUGGUUACGUGGCUUCUUCCCAGCUGACAGCACAAUGGGGAGUACUGGGUUUUUGUCCCAUCCCACAUGGUUGGAUGUGGACUGUUGCAUGCUGAGUGGAUUGGAGCAGAUAGCUGAGAGUGAGCAGUGCACGGAUAGGUUUUGGUGGGGACCGUGGCCCCAGAGAUCCCUAUUAUAUUCCCCAGAAGAGCCAAAGCACCUGGAGCAAACACUGUGGCACUGCUCCCUGAAGAACUGGGUCUGCAGGGCUGGUGGAUGCCUAUGAAAGGGGAGUGGGAAGAGAAGAAGCUGUGUUCCAAGGCUGAGGUGAGGACACCCAGACUCUAAGGCUGCUAUGCAUGGGAAAAGGACAGGAGGUGUCUCUGGGAGGUUAUUCCCCACUGUUGGGGCAUUUUGUAGCUGGUGGGCCACGCUGCUGGUGCUCAUGCAAGGGAAACCCUGGGAAAGACCCCUGGGACUGGCUCGUGGGAACGGGCUGGCGCAGACCCCCUGUGGGGCCACUUCCCAAUGCCAGUGCCAAUUCCGACAGCUCUUCCCAGCACCCUGCUGUGCCCCCGCUCCGCUCCCGUGCAGCCUGCAGCCUCCUGCCAGCCUGGGGCUCCCGGCCCAUGGUUGCAGCACGGGGAAAGGAGGAUGGCAAACUUCACACCAAUGUGUCAGGCCGACUCCCAGCACACCUCCCUCUCCUCCUGCCUUGGAUCUUGUUGUGAACACAUCAGUGGCAGUAAAGAGGUUAAUGGGAGUGGGAGGAGGGAGAGGGGGGAGAUUGAAGCUGUUCCCAUGAACCGGCUCCAAGGCUUUUGCAGAAGUGGAGCAUCUGGCCAUGGGGCUCAUUUGCCCUGGAGCAGAUGGUCCUGUCCUCUGUCCCAGGCAUGGGCGAUGGGCUGUGGCUGAUGCUGAGCCCAAAGAGCCUUUUGUCACUUGGAGAUUUCGCAGAAGGCAGUGCUGAGCCCCAUGGAGGAGGGGAGAGGAGCUGGGAAGAGAUCCCAGGGAGAGCUCAGCAGUUCUCAGCCUAAAUAUGCUCUUGUAGGUGUUUUUUUUCAAGUCUCCUAAGCUCAGUGCUGACCUCUUAACCCACAGCCCCAGUGCUGGGCUUACAAGGUCCAAGUAUGCCUUGAAGGCUGCUUUGGGAUUGCCUUUUACAUAGCAGGGAAAUAUACCCCAAAAACAGAUGCUGUGCUAACCACACAGAGCAAUGCAUUGGGUGGAGAGCAUCCUAGCCAAGGGUGCCACAAAAGGAAGAUUUAUGAUGUGAUGGUUUAGUGCUGUGAGCAGAGCUGAGCUUAGUUGGCUCCUGGAUUUCCCAGGAGCUGCCUGGGAGAUUCCCAUGCCAGGGGUUGCUGGGCAAGGCUGGAGCACCAUCCUGGAGCAGGACCUCAGCAUCACACUCCACUUUGUUUUCUCU
Long non-coding RNA from Gallus gallus (chicken), 1881 nucleotides. The record is from Ensembl. NCBI's taxonomy places the organism in Eukaryota, Metazoa, Chordata, Aves, Galliformes, Phasianidae.